AAAGCACGACAUUGCUCACAUUGCUUCCAGUAUUACUUUAGCCAGCCUCUGCUGGCUUUUUUUU
RNAcentral lists this non-coding RNA (64 nucleotides) under Citrobacter sedlakii. The record is from RNAcentral. Lineage: Bacteria; Pseudomonadati; Pseudomonadota; Gammaproteobacteria; Enterobacterales; Enterobacteriaceae.